This 298-nucleotide signal recognition particle RNA is filed under the name Cebus imitator (Panamanian white-faced capuchin). RNAcentral's name for it is "Metazoan signal recognition particle RNA (ENSCCAG00000010100.1)". It matches the Rfam family "Metazoan signal recognition particle RNA". From Rfam's summary of the family: The signal recognition particle (SRP) is a universally conserved ribonucleoprotein. It is involved in the co-translational targeting of proteins to membranes. Lineage: Eukaryota; Metazoa; Chordata; Mammalia; Primates; Cebidae. The record is from RNAcentral.
GUUGGGCACAGUGGUACGUGCCUGUAGUCCCAGUUGCCCAGGAGGCUGAGGAAGAAGGAUCGCGUGAUCCCAGGAGUUCUGGCUCAUAAAGCACUAUGCCCAUUGGGUGUCCACACUAAGGUUGGCAUCAGUAUGAUGACCUCCUGGAAGUGGGGGACCACCAGGUUGCCCAAGGAGGGGUGAACCAGCCCAGGUUGGAAACGGAGCAGGUCAAAACUCCUGUGCUGAUCAGUAAUGGGAUGGCACCUGUGAACAGCCAUGCACUCCAACCUAGGGAAAAUGGCAAGAUCCCAUCUCU